This 164-nucleotide unclassified non-coding RNA is filed under the name Pichia kudriavzevii. RNAcentral's name for it is "partial ITS1". Lineage: Eukaryota; Fungi; Ascomycota; Pichiomycetes; Pichiales; Pichiaceae. The record is from RNAcentral.
CUGUGAUUUAGUACUACACUGGCGGUGGAGCGGAACGAAAACAANAACACCUAAAAUNUGGAAUAUAGUCAUAUAGUCGACAAGGAGGAAAUCUACGUAAAAACAAACAAAACUUUCAACAACGGUAUCUCUUGGUUCUCGCAUCGAUGNAGANCGCAGCGAAA